GCGAGUAUAACUCUCUAAAACCAUUGUGAACGAAUAGACCGGUUGCUUCGGCGGACGGCUUGCCGCCGCCGAAAGAACUCAAACUCUUGUUAUCAUUGCCUCUCUGAGUAACUUAGUUAAUAAGUUA
Molecule: unclassified non-coding RNA, 127 nt
Filed under: uncultured Phialophora
Lineage: Eukaryota; Fungi; Ascomycota; Leotiomycetes
Description: sequence contains ITS1
Source: RNAcentral